CCUUGUAAGGACACUUGUCAUUGGAUUUAGGGCCCACCCAAUAAUCCAGGAUGGUCUCCUCUCGAGAUCCUUAACUUAAUUCUACCUGCAGACCCC
This is a non-coding RNA of Ceratotherium simum simum (southern white rhinoceros), 96 nucleotides long. Lineage: Eukaryota; Metazoa; Chordata; Mammalia; Perissodactyla; Rhinocerotidae. The record is from RefSeq and is a predicted model, not a curated record.